UCCUUGACCUCUGAUGAGAUAUACAGGAAAAA
This 32-nucleotide non-coding RNA is filed under the name Rattus norvegicus (Norway rat). Lineage: Eukaryota; Metazoa; Chordata; Mammalia; Rodentia; Muridae. The record is from RNAcentral.